RNAcentral lists this ribosomal RNA (335 nucleotides) under uncultured bacterium. RNAcentral's name for it is "bacterial SSU rRNA". It matches the Rfam family "Bacterial small subunit ribosomal RNA", at positions 29 to 392 of the family's 1533-position model. The record is from RNAcentral.
AACGAACGCUGGCGGCAUGCCUAACACAUGCAAGUCGAACGAAGUCUUCGGACUUAGUGGCGCACGGGUGCGUAACGCGUGGGAAUCUGCCCUUGGGUGCGGAAUAACUUCUCGAAAGGGAUGCUAAUACCGCAUAAUGUCGUAAGACCAAAGAUUUAUCGCCCAAGGAUGAGCCCGCGUAAGAUUAGCUAGUUGGUGGGGUAAAAGCCUACCAAGGCGACGAUCUUUAGCUGGUCUGAGAGGAUGAUCAGCCACACUGGACUGAGACACGGCCCAGACUCCUACGGAGGCAACAGUGGGGAAGUAUUGGACAAUGGGCGAAAGCCUGAUCCAGC